This 307-nucleotide ribosomal RNA is filed under the name uncultured bacterium. RNAcentral's name for it is "partial 16S ribosomal RNA". It matches the Rfam family "Bacterial small subunit ribosomal RNA", at positions 506 to 807 of the family's 1533-position model. The record is from RNAcentral.
AGACAGCAGUCGCCGCGGUAAUACGGAGGGUGCAAGCGUUAAUCGGAAUUACUGGGCGUAAAGCGCACGCAGGCGGUCUGACAAGUCAGAUGUGAAAUCCCCGGGCUUAACCUGGGAACUGCAUUUGAAACUGUCAGGCUGGAGUCUUGUAGAGGGGGGUGGAAUUCCAGGUGUAGCGGUGAAAUGCGUAGAGAUCUGGAGGAAUACCGGUGGCGAAGGCGGCCCCCUGGACAAAGACUGACGCUCAGGUGCGAAAGCGUGGGGAGCAAACAGGAUUAGAUACCCGUGUAGUCCCUGUCUCUUAUAC